This 989-nucleotide ribosomal RNA is filed under the name uncultured archaeon. Its description in RNAcentral is "partial 16S ribosomal RNA". It matches the Rfam family "Archaeal small subunit ribosomal RNA", at positions 1 to 999 of the family's 1478-position model. The record is from RNAcentral.
UUCCGGUUGAUCCCGCCGGAGGUCACUGCUAUCGGGGUUCGAUUAAGCCAUGCGAGUCGAGAGGGUUCGGCCCUCGGCGUACUGCUCAGUAACACGUGGAUAACCUGCCCUAGGGAAGGGGAUAACCCCGGGAAACUGGGGAUAAUACCCUAUAGGUUACAGAUGCUGGAAUGCCCUGUAACCCAAAGUUCCGACGCCCUAGGAUGGAUCUGCGGCCGAUUAGGUUGUUGUUGGGGUAAUGGCCCAACAAGCCCGUAAUCGGUACGGGUUGUGGGAGCAAGAGCCCGGAGUUGGAUUCUGAGACACGAAUCCAGGCCCUACGGGGCGCAGCAGGCGCGAAAACUUUACAAUGCGGGCAACCGUGAUAAGGGAACCUCGAGUGCCUGUAAAUGCAGGCUGUUCAGGUGCCUAAAACACACCUGAAGAAAGGGCCGGGCAAGACCGGUGCCAGCCGCCGCGGUAAUACCGGCGGCUCGAGUGGUGGCCGCUUUUAUUGGGCUUAAAGCGUUCGUAGCUGGGUUGUUAAGUCUCUUGGGAAAUCUGGCGGCUUAACCGUCAGGCGUCUAAGGGAUACUGGCAAUCUUGGAACCGGGAGAGGUGAGGGGUACUUCGGGGGUAGGAGUGAAAUCCUGUAAUCCUCGAGGGACCACCUGUGGCGAAGGCGCCUCACCAGAACGGCUUCGACAGUGAGGGACGAAAGCUGGGGGAGCAAACCGGAUUAGAUACCCGGGUAGUCCCAGCCGUAAACUAUGCUCGCUAGGUGUCAGGCAUGGCGCGACCGUGUCUGGUGCCGCAGGGAAGCCGUGAAGCGAGCCACCUGGGAAGUACGGCCGCAAGGCUGAAACUUAAAGGAAUUGGCGGGGGAGCACAACAACGGGUGGAGCCUGCGGUUUAAUUGGACUCAACGCCGGACAACUCACCGGGGACGACAGCAAUAUGUAGGCCAGGCUGAAGACCUUGCCUGAAUCGCUGAGAGGUGGUGCAUGGCC